RNAcentral lists this ribosomal RNA (497 nucleotides) under uncultured bacterium. RNAcentral's name for it is "bacterial SSU rRNA". It matches the Rfam family "Bacterial small subunit ribosomal RNA", at positions 501 to 995 of the family's 1533-position model. The record is from RNAcentral.
CUACGUGCCAGCAGCCGCGGUAAUACGUAGGGCGCAAGCGUUGUCCGGAAUUAUUGGGCGUAAAGAGCUCGUAGGCGGCUGGUCGCGUCUGUCGUGAAAACUUCCGGCUCAACCGGGGGCUUGCGGUGGGUACGGGCCGGCUAGAGUGCGGUAGGGGAGACUGGAAUUCCUGGUGUAGCGGUGGAAUGCGCAGAUAUCAGGAGGAACACCGAUGGCGAAGGCAGGUCUCUGGGCUGUAACUGACGCUGAGAAGCGAAAGCAUGGGGAGCGAACAGGAUUAGAUACCCUGGUAGUCCAUGCCGUAAACGUUGGGCACUAGGUGUGGGGGACAUUCCACGUUUUCCGCGCCGUAGCUAACGCAUUAAGUGCCCCGCCUGGGGAGUACGGCCGCAAGGCUAAAACUCAAAGAAAUUGACGGGGGCCCGCACAAGCGGCGGAGCAUGCGGAUUAAUUCGAUGCAACGCGAAGAACCUUACCAAGGCUUGACAUGUUAACCG